Molecule: signal recognition particle RNA, 304 nt
Filed under: Solanum lycopersicum (tomato)
Lineage: Eukaryota; Viridiplantae; Streptophyta; Magnoliopsida; Solanales; Solanaceae
Description: signal recognition particle 7S RNA (LOC108663990)
Rfam family: Plant signal recognition particle RNA
Source: RNAcentral
GUUGAGCUUAGUAACGUGGGCUUGUAAUCCAAGUGGAGACAUCAAAGUGGUUGAAUAUUGGGCUUUACCAGAAGGUUGGGCUUGGUGGGCUUAGUUCUGGCCUGCCCUGUCCAAGCACAGAGUAGGAUCACGAGGCCCAAAUGAAAAUAUGGGCUUCUUGAUUCCUAAAGCGGGGCGGACCGCAUGAGGCUGGCUUCACAGAGCAGUGAACAGCUCCCGCUCUGUGCAGUGGAAGGAUAAUGGGUCGGUGUCUUAUCAAGUUCAGUAACGCCUAAUGGGUUGCUCCAAUAAACAACCACCUUUU